AAUUCUCAAAAACCUUUUUCUGCUUUUGCUGAAAAAGAUUUUUGGACUUGGAGGUUCAAUGCUUGCUUUGAAAGUAAGCUCCUCUUAAAUGAAUUAGUGGGGUCUGCUUUGCUGGUCCUUGACGUGAUAAGAAGUCUCUACGUUUUGGAUUUAGCACUGUCCCUUUGGACGCCUGCUUCUAACUGUCCGAUGGACAAUGAUGAUGGUGUUCUGGUCUUUGUGCCCGUCUACUUUGGCGGGGGGAGAGGCUGGACCCACAAAAGAAAA
Molecule: unclassified non-coding RNA, 267 nt
Filed under: uncultured Russulaceae
Lineage: Eukaryota; Fungi; Basidiomycota; Agaricomycetes; Russulales; Russulaceae
Description: sequence contains ITS2
Source: RNAcentral